UACAGAGGGUGCGAGCGUUAAUCGGAAUUACUGGGCGUAAAGCGUGCGUAGACGGUAGCGUAAGUCGGGUGUGAAAGCCCCGGGCUCAACCUGGGAAUUGCAUUCGAGACUGCUCUGCUAGGGUGCGGAAGAGGGGAGCGGAAUUUCCGGUGUAGCGGUGAAAUGCGUAGAUAUCGGAAGGAACACCAGUGGCGAAAGCGGCUCCCUGGUCCAGCACCGACGUUCAGGCACGAAAGCGUGGGGAGCAAACAGG
This 253-nucleotide ribosomal RNA is filed under the name uncultured bacterium. Its description in RNAcentral is "partial 16S ribosomal RNA". It matches the Rfam family "Bacterial small subunit ribosomal RNA", at positions 524 to 776 of the family's 1533-position model. The record is from RNAcentral.